RNAcentral lists this transfer RNA (89 nucleotides) under Candidatus Tagabacteria bacterium RIFCSPLOWO2_01_FULL_42_9. Its description in RNAcentral is "tRNA-Ser". It matches the Rfam family "tRNA". Rfam says of the family: Transfer RNA (tRNA) molecules are approximately 80 nucleotides in length. Their secondary structure includes four short double-helical elements and three loops (D, anti-codon, and T loops). Further hydrogen bonds mediate the characteristic L-shaped molecular structure. tRNAs have two regions of fundamental functional importance: the anti-codon, which is responsible for specific mRNA codon recognition, and the 3' end, to which the tRNAs corresponding amino acid is attached (by aminoacyl-tRNA synthetases). tRNAs cope with the degeneracy of the genetic code in two manners: having more than one tRNA (with a specific anti-codon) for a particular amino acid; and 'wobble' base-pairing, i.e. permitting non-standard base-pairing at the 3rd anti-codon position. Lineage: Bacteria; Candidatus Tagaibacteriota. The record is from RNAcentral.
GGAGGAGUGCCGGAGCGGUCUAACGGAGCGGUUUGCUAAACCGUAACUGCCUAAAAAGCGGUUCGUGGGUUCAAAUCCCACCUCCUCCG